GCCAGACUCCUACGGGAGGCAGCAGUGGGGGAUAUUGCACAAUGGGGGAAACCCUGAUGCAGCGACGCCGCGUGAGUGAAGAAGUAUUUCGGUAUGUAAAGCUCUAUCAGCAGGGAAGAAGAUGACAGUACCUGAGUAAGAAGCCCCGGCUAACUACGUGCCAGCAGCCGCGGUAAUACGUAGGGGGCAAGCGUUAUCCGGAUUUACUGGGUGUAAAGGGAGCGUAGACGGAUGGAUAAGUCUGGAGUGAAAGCCCGGGGCCCAACCCCGGGACUGCUCUGGAAACUGCGGCGCUGGAGUACGGGAGGGGCAGGCGGAAUUCCUGGUGUAGCGGUGAAAUGCGUAGAUAUCAGGAGGAACACCGGCGGCGAAGGCGGCCUGCUGGACCGUGACUGACGUUGAGGCUCGAGAGUGUGGGGAGCAAACAGGAUUAGAUCCCCCUGUA
This 445-nucleotide ribosomal RNA is filed under the name uncultured bacterium. Its description in RNAcentral is "bacterial SSU rRNA". It matches the Rfam family "Bacterial small subunit ribosomal RNA", at positions 330 to 792 of the family's 1533-position model. The record is from RNAcentral.